AGCGUAUACGGUGGAUGCCCUGGCAGUCAGAGGCGAUGAAGGACGUGCUAAUCUGCGAAAAGCGCCGGCGAGGUGAUAUGAACCCUUGACCCGGCGAUGUCCGAAUGGGGAAACCCAGUGUGAUUCGUCACACUAUCGUUAACUGAAUACAUAGGUUAACGAGGCGAACCGGGGGAACUGAAACAUCUAAGUACCCCGAGGAAAAGAAAUCAACCGAGAUUCCCCCAGUAGCGGCGAGCGAACGGGGAGCAGCCCGGAGUCUGAAUCAGCUUGUGUGUUAGUGGAACGGUCUGGAAAGUCCGACGGUACAGGGUGAUAGUCCCGUACACGAAAGCACACUUGCUGUGAACUCGAAGAGUAGGGCGGGACACGUGGUAUCCUGUCUGAAUAUGGGGGGACCAUCCUCCAAGGCUAAAUACUCCUGACUGACCGAUAGUGAACCAGUACCGUGAGGGAAAGGCGAAAAGAACCCCGGCGAGGGGAGUGAAAAAGAACCUGAAACCGUGUACGUACAAGCAGUGGGAGCACCUUCGUGGUGUGACUGCGUACCUUUUGUAUAAUGGGUCAGCGACUUAUAUUCUGUAGCAAGGUUAACCGUAUAGGGGAGCCGAAGGGAAACCGAGUCUUAACUGGGCGUUAAGUUGCAGGGUAUAGACCCGAAACCCGGUGAUCUAGCCAUGGGCAGGUUGAAGGUUGGGUAACACUAACUGGAGGACCGAACCGACUAAUGUUGAAAAAUUAGCGGAUGACCUGUGGCUGGGGGUGAAAGGCCAAUCAAACCGGGAGAUAGCUGGUUCUCCCCGAAAGCUAUUUAGGUAGCGCCUCGUGAACUCAUCUUCGGGGGUAGAGCACUGUUUCGGCUAGGGGGCCAUCCCGGCUUACCAACCCGAUGCAAACUACGAAUACCGAAGAAUGUUAUCACGGGAGACACACGGCGGGUGCUAACGUCCGUCGUGAAGAGGGAAACAACCCAGACCGCCAGCUAAGGUCCCAAAGUCAUGGUUAAGUGGGAAACGAUGUGGGAAGGCACAGACAGCCAGGAUGUUGGCUUAGAAGCAGCCAUCAUUUAAAGAAAGCGUAAUAGCUCACUGGUCGAGUCGGCCUGCGCGGAAGAUGUAACGGGGCUAAACCAUGCACCGAAGCUGCGGCAGCGACACUAUGUGUUGUUGGGUAGGGGAGCGUUCUGUAAGCCGUUGAAGGUGUGCUGUGAGGCAUGCUGGAGGUAUCAGAAGUGCGAAUGCUGACAUAAGUAACGAUAAAGCGGGUGAAAAGCCCGCUCGCCGGAAGACCAAGGGUUCCUGUCCAACGUUAAUCGGGGCAGGGUGAGUCGACCCCUAAGGCGAGGCCGAAAGGCGUAGUCGAUGGGAAACAGGUUAAUAUUCCUGUACUUGGUGUUACUGCGAAGGGGGGACGGAGAAGGCUAUGUCAGCCGGGCGACGGUUGUCCCGGUUUAAGCAUGUAGGCGGAGGUUCCAGGUAAAUCCGGUACCUUAUUAACGCUGAGGUGUGAUGACGAGGCACUACGGUGCUGAAGUGAUAAAUGCCCUGCUUCCAGGAAAAGCCUCUAAGCAUCAGGUAACACGAAAUCGUACCCCAAACCGACACAGGUGGUCAGGUAGAGAAUACCAAGGCGCUUGAGAGAACUCGGGUGAAGGAACUAGGCAAAAUGGUGCCGUAACUUCGGGAGAAGGCACGCUGAUGUGUAGGUGAAGUCCCUGCGGACGGAGCUGAAAUCAGUCGAAGAUACCAGCUGGCUGCAACUGUUUAUUAAAAACACAGCACUGUGCAAACACGAAAGUGGACGUAUACGGUGUGACGCCUGCCCGGUGCCGGAAGGUUAAUUGAUGGGGUUAGCUGUAAGGCGAAGCUCUUGAUCGAAGCCCCGGUAAACGGCGGCCGUAACUAUAACGGUCCUAAGGUAGCGAAAUUCCUUGUCGGGUAAGUUCCGACCUGCACGAAUGGCGUAAUGAUGGCCAGGCUGUCUCCACCCGAGACUCAGUGAAAUUGAACUCGCUGUGAAGAUGCAGUGUACCCGCGGCAAGACGGAAAGACCCCGUGAACCUUUACUAUAGCUUGACACUGAACACUGGUCCUUGAUGUGUAGGAUAGGUGGGAGGCUUUGAAGCGUGGACGCCAGUCUGCGUGGAGCCGCCCUUGAAAUACCACCCUUUAAUGGCUGGUGUUCUAACGUAGACCCGUAAUCCGGGUUGCGGACAGUGUCUGGUGGGUAGUUUGACUGGGGCGGUCUCCUCCCAAAGAGUAACGGAGGAGCACGAAGGUUGGCUAAUCCUGGUCGGACAUCAGGAGGUUAGUGCAAUGGCAUAAGCCAGCUUGACUGCGAGCGUGACGGCGCGAGCAGGUGCGAAAGCAGGUCAUAGUGAUCCGGUGGUUCUGAAUGGAAGGGCCAUCGCUCAACGGAUAAAAGGUACUCCGGGGAUAACAGGCUGAUACCGCCCAAGAGUUCAUAUCGACGGCGGUGUUUGGCACCUCGAUGUCGGCUCAUCACAUCCUGGGGCUGAAGUAGGUCCCAAGGGUAUGGCUGUUCGCCAUUUAAAGUGGUACGCGAGCUGGGUUUAGAACGUCGUGAGACAGUUCGGUCCCUAUCUGCCGUGGGCGCUGGAGAAUUGAGGGGGGCUGCUCCUAGUACGAGAGGACCGGAGUGGACGCAUCACUGGUGUUCGGGUUGUCAUGCCAAUGGCACUGCCCGGUAGCUAAAUGCGGAAGAGAUAAGUGCUGAAAGCAUCUAAGCACGAAACUUGCCCCGAGAUGAGUUCU
RNAcentral lists this ribosomal RNA (2774 nucleotides) under Enterobacter cloacae. RNAcentral's name for it is "bacterial LSU rRNA". It matches the Rfam family "Bacterial large subunit ribosomal RNA". Lineage: Bacteria; Pseudomonadati; Pseudomonadota; Gammaproteobacteria; Enterobacterales; Enterobacteriaceae. The record is from RNAcentral.